ACAAGGAGAAACAAAGAACAAGGCGAGACAUUGCAAGCAAAAGAAGAAGAGGUGGAGUCUGAAGGGACGCUCCCCCUCAACGCCCCCUUGGGGAGCCAGGAAGAAAGGACACAGGACAGUGGAGGGACGGACAAUGCCGAGCCCGGCCGCGCUCCCGAAGGAGGGAAAAGCGGCGAGCGCGAAGGAUGGCGGGCAGAGUUUCCUUGGGGCGCUUAGUUGCGCUCUUGUGGGGCUAAACUCCACGUGACGCAAAGCGCGUCACCGUUCGGUUGCGCGGCUGCUUCUCCACGGCCGGAGGGGCUGCCCUCACUCCCUCCCUUUCCCACUAGGCGCUGGGGUCUCCGCUCCGGACGGAGCCGAAAGGCGGCCCCCCGGCGACGGCACCGCAGCCGCUCUUCUCCGGCGGAGGCAGUGGGUGGGAAUUACGUGCGAGCGAGCGGGCGGAGGAGGGUGAGAAAGAACUUGGCGGACCGCCUGACUAGGUGGGCUCCGGCUGUUGCGCUGCUCCAAGUUCGGGGAGACGCGGGAGAAGGGCGCCCGCCAAGAACUUCGCCACAGGUGCCGCCCUCCACGUUUGCUGCUUCUUCGGCAGUGCUUCAGAGGCAGGAGACUCGUCGCUCUGGGGAUUUGGGCUUUUCUCUUUGCAGCUGCCCUAUAUUCUGUGGGGGGGGGGGAGGAGGAAGAAGAGAAGGGGGUCUGCCUCGCUUUGCAACACACGCUUGUUUUGUUCAUCCACGUCCCGCCACCGGAACAGCAACGCCGGGGAAAAAAAGUUACAAAGCUCGUGUGGGACAGCGAGGUGUGGCGGGAAUUAGCCUUCGGCUUCCUUCCCCCUUUAAAAGCAUAACAACAUGGGUUUGGCUUGGAGUAGACUCCUCUUUCCUCCCUCCCUUCCUUCCUUGAAUCGCCUUGCCUUGUGUUAAAAAGAGCUUGUCGGCGGCACGGAAGAGUGGCUGGGUGGGAUAUCUGGAGAGAGAGAGAGAUGUGGGGAUAACAAUAACAGCAACAACAGUAAUCGUAACGAAAAGGGACGCCUGGUUCCAGAGUGACGACAAAUCCAAGCGGAAAAAGUCGAGCCGGCUGGUUUAAUUUUGUUUAGUUUUGUCGCGGAGGGGGGAGAGUUACAGUCCUUUUACAAGCUCUGGCGUUGGUGACAUAAUGGAGCCAGUUCUGCAGGUGCAGCAACAGGAAGUUGGAUGACAGGAACAGUGAUCCUAAAAAUGUAUGAGGUGUCUUAGGUGUUCAAAUGAGAAGACUGGAUUGUUGAGCAUUGUAUGAUGAAAGAAAGGUGUAACAUUCCCAGCUAGCCUUCUCUUAAGUGAAUCUCAUUCUAUUGGCCAACUCCAAUCUCCUUCUACAUGCCAGGAACUGACCAUCUGAAUAGAAUUCAGUCUGUUCUGAGCAGCUGUUGAAGAAUUAGCAAUGAAAAGAGGACAACUAGACUACUUAAAUCCCUUCUGACUGAAAACAAACUGGCCACCAGAGCCAUAAUCUUUAGGCAUGACUUUGGAUCAUGUACUGUAUAUGCAGUAUAUUAACUACUUUAAGGGUUUUCUGAAGACUGCCUGGCUGACUGUUUGAAGCUGUGUUAAAUUGAGUCUGUUAAUUGUGGUUGACAACAGCCCUCUGGGGCCUUAGAUAGAAGAUUUUUGCCAGACAUAAUGGUGAAGAUGGGUAAACUGGGAAGGGUGCAAAGAAAGCCAAUGAGGACAAUCAAAGAUAGAUGCAUUACCAAUUCAUGAAUGGCUCUUGGUGGCUUACCAAAACAUACAUAGUCAGCACAACGCAGAAUGAAAACCCUUAGUAAAAGAAACAUUAAAAAAAACCUCGCUUGGAAUGUAAUAAACUGAUGACAAGUCUCAUCUCCAACUACAGUUUGGUCCCCAAUGUGAGCUUUGCAGUGAAAAAGCAUGGUUUAUCUACUCAUUUUAAUGUUAUUUUUAAAAAAAAUGUCUUGAAGAUUUGAGAGUGUGGAGAAGAUUAUACCAGAAUAGGAGGUCUUGCAGAUAACUUGGGGACUAAGGCAUGUAAUAGUUGCUGAAUGAACCCUGCCGUUAUGAUUUAUGUGACUAACUGUGCUUUACUGUGCUAUUUGAACCCAGUGUCAUGAAGUUCAUAGUCCAAGUGCUUGUGGAAAAACACAUUUUAUUCUUAUAGUUGUUCCUAUAAAGUUUCCUUUCCUUU
Long non-coding RNA from Pantherophis guttatus, 2184 nucleotides. RefSeq lists it as uncharacterized. Lineage: Eukaryota; Metazoa; Chordata; Lepidosauria; Squamata; Colubridae. The record is from RefSeq and is a predicted model, not a curated record.